CAGCAGCCGCGGUAAUACGUAGGUGGCAAGCGUUAUCCGGAAUUACUGGGUGUAAAGGGAGCGUAGACGGUUAAACAAGUCUGAAGUGAAAUGCCGGGGCUCAACCCCGGAGCUGCUUUGGGAACUGUAGAACUGGAGUGUCGGAGGGGUAAGCGGAAUUCCCAGUGUAGCGGUGAAAUGCGUAGAUAUUGGGAGGAACACCGGCGGCGAAGGCGGCUUACUGGACGACAACUGACGUUGAGGCUCGGAGGCGUGGGUAGCAAACAGGAUUAGAGACCCCCGUAGUCCCUGUCUCUUAUAU
This 301-nucleotide ribosomal RNA is filed under the name uncultured bacterium. Its description in RNAcentral is "partial 16S ribosomal RNA". It matches the Rfam family "Bacterial small subunit ribosomal RNA", at positions 509 to 809 of the family's 1533-position model. The record is from RNAcentral.